Molecule: ribosomal RNA, 134 nt
Filed under: Octodon degus (degu)
Lineage: Eukaryota; Metazoa; Chordata; Mammalia; Rodentia; Octodontidae
Source: RNAcentral
GUCUAUGGCCUUAUCACCCUGAAUGGGCCCAGUCUUGUCGGAUCUUGGAAGUUAAGCAGGGUUGGGCCUGGUUAGUACCUACAUGGGAGAAAUAUGUAAAAACCCUUUCCUGGAUCAUCAAGGAACCAUUAAGA